RNAcentral lists this ribosomal RNA (257 nucleotides) under uncultured bacterium. Its description in RNAcentral is "partial 16S ribosomal RNA". It matches the Rfam family "Bacterial small subunit ribosomal RNA", at positions 99 to 353 of the family's 1533-position model. The record is from RNAcentral.
CGCACGGGUGAGUAACACGUAUCCAACCUGCCGUCUACUCUUGGACAGCCUUCUGAAAGGAAGAUUAAUACAAGAUGGCAUCAUGAGUCCGCAUGUUCACAUGAUUAAAGGUAUUCCGGUAGACGAUGGGGAUGCGUUCCAUUAGAUAGUAGGCGGGGUAACGGCCCACCUAGUCUUCGAUGGAUAGGGGUUCUGAGAGGAAGGUCCCCCCACAUUGGAACUGAGACACGGUCCAAACUCCUACGGGAGGCAGCAUG